Molecule: ribosomal RNA, 210 nt
Filed under: uncultured bacterium
Lineage: Bacteria
Description: partial 16S ribosomal RNA
Rfam family: Bacterial small subunit ribosomal RNA
Source: RNAcentral
GGGACAACCCCGGGAAACUGGAGCUAAUACCAAAUGAGACCACAUGGCCUUCGGGUCGAGUGGGAAAAGAUGGCCUCUUCUUGAAAGCUAUCGCUCGGAGAUGAGCCCGCGUCGCAUUAGCUUGUUGGUGAGGUAAAAGCUCACCAAGGCUACGAUGCGUAGCUGGUCUGAGAGGAUGAUCAGCCACACUGGAACUGAGACACGGUCCAG